CAGAUCUUCCGUCAGGCCAAGAAGCAUCUGAGUCUGAUCUCCCUCUUUGUGUCUGCUGGAGCUGGAGGUACUGGAGCAACACUGUACGGCCUGCAUCUGGCACAGUUCAAUCCAGAUUUUACUAGGGACAGAAAGAAUAACUGGGUGCCCUAGAAGAAACUAGGUCACAGGGAUCAAUACAAAUUCUACUCAGUGAAUGUGGAUUACAGUAAACUGAAGAAAGAAGGUCCAGAUUUCU
This 238-nucleotide long non-coding RNA is filed under the name Homo sapiens (human). RNAcentral describes it as "non-protein coding lnc-HSP90AA1-12:1". Lineage: Eukaryota; Metazoa; Chordata; Mammalia; Primates; Hominidae. The record is from RNAcentral.